RNAcentral lists this small RNA (604 nucleotides) under Pongo abelii (Sumatran orangutan). RNAcentral's name for it is "retained intron". Lineage: Eukaryota; Metazoa; Chordata; Mammalia; Primates; Hominidae. The record is from RNAcentral.
GGGGUGAAUGUUCCUGAAAUUCCUUGUAUCCCAAUGCUAAGGCACCUUUAUAUGAAGUGGGUAAGACUUACUAAACCACAGCCAUUUAAAGACUUCCUUUGUAUCAGCUUAAGAACUUUCGUCAUGAGGAACUGUGCAGGACCCACAAAUUCCUUGAAAUAUGUCCCUUUAGUAACAGGCUUAGCCUCUGCCCGAAACUUGGAACACUUAGAAAUGGUUCGAGUUCCUUUCCUUGGAGGUCUUAUCCAACAUGUUGUUGAAGACAGUUGGAGAUCAGGUGGUUUUAGAAAUUUGCACACUAUUGUUCUGGGAGCUUGCAAAAAUGCUCUUGAAGUAGAUCUUGGUUACCUCAUCAUUACUGCUGCCCGUAGGUUACAUGAAGUUCGGAUCCAGCCUUCCCUAACCAAAGAUGGUGUCUUUUCUGCCCUAAAGAUGGCAGAGUUGGAGUUCCCCCAGUUUGAAACCCUUCAUCUAGGAUAUGUAGAUGAGUUUUUGCUACAGAGUAAGAUUAUCCCAUUUUAAUUCCUAGAAUGACUGUAAGAAAUUUACUUGACAAACUGAAAUCUGAAUUGGGUUGUGCCAUGUCUUUUUGAACAUAAGACAA